GACAGAGGGUGCAAACGUUGUUCGGAAUUACUGGGCGUAAAGCGUGUGUAGGCGGUCCUCUAAGUCGGGUGUGAAAUCCCUGGGCUCAACCCAGGAAGUGCACUCGAAACUGGAGGGCUAGAGUAUCGGAGAGGUUGGUGGAAUUCUCGGUGUAGAGGUGAAAUUCGUAGAUAUCGAGAGGAACACCGGUGGCGAAGGCGGCCAACUGGACGAAUACUGACGCUGAGACACGAAAGCGUGGGGAGCAAACAG
RNAcentral lists this ribosomal RNA (252 nucleotides) under uncultured bacterium. Its description in RNAcentral is "partial 16S ribosomal RNA". It matches the Rfam family "Bacterial small subunit ribosomal RNA", at positions 524 to 775 of the family's 1533-position model. The record is from RNAcentral.